RNAcentral lists this long non-coding RNA (1336 nucleotides) under Populus tremula. Its description in RNAcentral is "long non-coding RNA (PTRE_LNC000300)". The record is from RNAcentral. Lineage: Eukaryota; Viridiplantae; Streptophyta; Magnoliopsida; Malpighiales; Salicaceae.
AAGAAACAAGAAAAUAAAAGAGCUUAAUUUUCCGUUGGCUGGAAAUCAUGUUCAUAUGAUCUAAAGUAGCUAUUAAAAUCAAAAUACCAGAACAAGCUUAAAACCAUGGCCCUUGUUUGAUGUUUAUAAAAGACAAAGAGGCCAGGUUCACAUUACCAAAAUAUAAGAACCAAAUACGUGAAAUAUUAAAUUUGACAUGUAGAAUCCAGAUGUAGCUCAGAUAACAAUCAAAUGUAUAUUAUUGGGCAACGAUGGACACUUUCAAGAGGGUUAAAUGACAAGUGGGAAACCCAUUAGUCAAAUUUCCUUCUCUCUCUUCAUUUUUCCAGACAUGUAACAAUCUCCACCACAAUAACACGGUAGACAUCUGACUUAAGUCUGAUUUCAUAUAGAUCUAACAAAUGAGAAAUAAAUACAUGACUCGAUUUGUUUAAGAUGUACAGCCUCUUGCAAAAGAAAUCAUAAGAAAAACCAAAAUGUUCCGUUCAUUGGAUGGAAAUCAUCUUCACAGACAAAUUGAACCAAAAUGCCAAAACAACAACAUUUAAGCCGGAUCAUCAUCAUAGUUUUUAAAGAAACCAAAAGUUUUUAAAGCCGGAUCAUCAUCAUAGUUUUUAAGGAAAUACAGGGGGAAAACCGAGUGAACUCUCGACUAUGGUUCUUCACGGCCAGCAAAGUUGAUAUAUACAAACCAUUUAAAAUGGCGUAGGUUAUGUAAAUCCAUUGCAUGUAUCACCAAAAACAAAAAUGGAAAGCUAAAGACACAUCUCUCUGCAUAUAUUAUCAGCACAAAGACACUAUUGUUCAAAAAUGUAAAUGGUAUUUCGUCUGACAUGUUUCUUCUAUUCACAAAACAGACUUUCAGGUUAUUUGUUGGUAAAGAGAUCAAGGUCGAAUUACCAAAUUACAUGAAGUCGAAUGUGUGCAAAAUAAAAUUUGACAUGUAGUGUCCAGAUGUAGCUCAAAUAACAAUCAAAUGUAUGUUAUUGGGCAACGAUGGACACUUUCAAGAGGGUUAAAUGACGAGUGGGAACCCCAUUAAUCAAAUUUCCUUCUCUCUUCUCAAUUUUCCAGACAUGUAACAAUCUCUACCACAAUAAACACGGUAGACAUCUGACUUAUGUCUGGUUGUAAAAUCUUGGGCAGUCCCAAAAAUAAAAGAAACUAUAAAAACAUCAUUACAAGAAAAAAUGCAUUUCUUUUUGAAGUACCUUUGAUUUAAGAUAGAGCUCUUUAUCAGAUUUUUUAUCAUCAGAAGCAAAAACUAGAAAACCCCUUUGCUUCUUGUUGAUAAUAUUAUAUCUGUUCUGAUCUCCAAUAGGAAAGAAAACAUGGG